Molecule: ribosomal RNA, 429 nt
Filed under: Acidobacteriota bacterium
Lineage: Bacteria; Pseudomonadati; Acidobacteriota
Description: Acidobacteria bacterium partial 16S ribosomal RNA
Rfam family: Bacterial small subunit ribosomal RNA
Source: RNAcentral
UGGGGAAUCUUCCGCAAUGGACGAAAGUCUGACGGAGCAACGCCGCGUGAGUGAUGAAGGAUUUCGGUCUGUAAAGCUCUGUUUUUUAUGCCGAACGUGCAGUGUGUGAACAAUGCAUUGCAAUGACGGUAGUAAACGAGGAAGCCACGGCUAACUACGUGCCAGCAGCCGCGGUAAUACGUAGGUGGCGAGCUUUGUCCGGAAUUAUUGGGCGUAAAGAGCAUGUAGGCGGCUUAAUAUGUCGAGGGUGAAAAUGCGGGGCUCAACCCCGUAUGGCGCUAGAAACUGUUAGGCUUGAGUGAAGGAGAGGAAAGGGGAAUUCCCAGUGUAGCGGUGAAAUGCGUAGAUAUUGGGAGGAACACCAGUGGCGAAGGCGCCUUUCUGGACUGUGACUGACGCUGAGAUGCGAAAGCGAGGGUAGCGAACGGG